This 253-nucleotide ribosomal RNA is filed under the name uncultured bacterium. RNAcentral's name for it is "partial 16S ribosomal RNA". It matches the Rfam family "Bacterial small subunit ribosomal RNA", at positions 524 to 776 of the family's 1533-position model. The record is from RNAcentral.
GACAGAGGUGGCAAGCGUUGUUCGGAUUUAUUGGGCGUAAAGAGCGUGUAGGCGGCCAGAUAGGUCCGUUGUGAAAACUGGAGGCUUAACCUCCAGCGGUCGAUGGAAACCAUCUGGCUAGAGUCCGGAAGAGGAGAGUGGAAUUCCUGGUGUAGCGGUGAAAUGCGCAGAUAUCAGGAAGAACACCCGUGGCGAAGGCGGCUCUCUGGGACGGUACUGACGCUGAGACGCGAAAGCGUGGGGAGCGAACAGG